This 486-nucleotide ribosomal RNA is filed under the name uncultured bacterium. RNAcentral describes it as "partial 16S ribosomal RNA". It matches the Rfam family "Bacterial small subunit ribosomal RNA", at positions 29 to 507 of the family's 1533-position model. The record is from RNAcentral.
AUUGAACGCUGGCGGCAUGCUUUACACAUGCAAGUCGAGCGGCAGCGCGGGGGCAACCCUGGCGGCGAGCGGCGAACGGGUGAGUAAUUCAUCGGAACGUAUCCUCGAGUGGGGGAUAACCCAGCGAAAGUUGGGCUAAUACCGCAUGAGCUCUGAGGAGGAAAGCGGGGGACCUGCGAGGGCCUCGCGCUGGAGGAGCGGCCGAUGUCGGAUUAGCUAGUUGGUGGGGUAAAGGCUUACCAAGGCGACGAUCGGUAGCUGGUCUGAGAGGAUGAUCAGCCACACUGGGACUGAGACACGGCCCAGACUCCUACGGGAGGCAGCAGUGGGGAAUUUUGGACAAUGGGGGCAAGCCUGACGCAGCCAUGCCGCGUGAGUGAAGAAGGCCUUCGGGUUGUAAAGCUCUGUCGGUCGGAAAGAAAUGGUCUGGACUAAUCCGCCUGUCUGAUGACGGUACCGUAAGAAGAAGCAACGGCUAACUACGUG